GUACACGCUGUGACUAGCAUAUCAAUAAGCGGAGGAAAAGAAACUAACAAGGAUUCCCCUAGUAACGGCGAGUGAAGCGGGAAGAGCUCAAAUUUGAAAUCUUAAAGGGUUUCCCUUUACGAAUUGUAGUUUAAAGAAGUGUUUUCUGUUGAGGUUUUGGUGAAAGUUCUUUGGAAUAGGACAUCAUAGAGGGUGAGAAUCCCGUAUUUGACCUUUACUUUCAACUUUGUGAUACACUUUCAAAGAGUCGGAUUGUUUGGGAAUGCAGUCCAAAAUGGGUGGUAAAUUUCAUCUAAAGCUAAAUAUUGGCGAGAGACCGAUAGCGAACAAGUACCGUGAGGGAAAGAUGAAAAGAACUUUGAAAAGAGAGUUAAACAGUACGUGAAAUUGUCAAAAGGGAAGCGUUUGACACCAGUGUUGUUUUUCUGAAAAUCAAUUAAAGAACUGUUUAUGCUAAGUUGUUUAGACUUUAUCAGCUAACUGUUUAGUCUUGAGCUUUUCUUUAAUGCACUUUUCAGUUAACAAGUCAACAUCAAUUUCUUUUGCUGUAAAAAAGCUUGAGGAAGGUGGCUUGAGAUUCGUCUUAAGUGUUUAUAGCCUCUUGCCUAUGCAGUCGGAGAGAUUGAGGUCUGCAGCGUAGAUCCUUCGGGGCUAAAUGCAUUUGUGCUAAGUUAUAGCAUUUUAUAGACAACUUGUUGACUAUGAUUUGUCUUGUAGCUUACUCGCUUAUGUUAUUUUACCUACGCUUAGGAUGUUGAAGAUGUAGCACAUCAU
Molecule: ribosomal RNA, 774 nt
Filed under: uncultured Neocallimastigales
Lineage: Eukaryota; Fungi; Neocallimastigomycota; Neocallimastigomycetes; Neocallimastigales
Description: partial large subunit ribosomal RNA
Rfam family: Eukaryotic large subunit ribosomal RNA
Source: RNAcentral